This 465-nucleotide ribosomal RNA is filed under the name uncultured bacterium. Its description in RNAcentral is "partial 16S ribosomal RNA". It matches the Rfam family "Bacterial small subunit ribosomal RNA", at positions 338 to 795 of the family's 1533-position model. The record is from RNAcentral.
CCUACGGGAGGCUGCAGUGGGGAAUAUUGCGCAAUGGGCGAAAGCCUGACGCAGCGACGCCGCGUGAGGGAUGAAGGUCUUCGGAUCGUAAACCUCUGUCAGCAGGGAAGAACGGUCACUGUGCUAAUCAGCAGUGAAUUGACGGUACCUGCAAAGGAAGCACCGGCUAACUCCGUACCAGCAGCCGCGGUAAUACGGAGGGUGCGAGCGUUAAUCGGAAUUACUGGGCGUAAAGCUCUCGUAGGCGGUAUGUCAAGUCAAGGGUGAAAUCCCCGCGCUCAACGUGGGAACUGCCUUUGAAGCUGGCAAACUGGUGUGUGUGAGAGGAUAGUGGAAUUCCAGGUGUAGGAGUGAAAUCCGUAGAUAUCUGGAGGAACAUCAGUGGCGAAGGCGACUAUCUGGCACAUAACUGACGCUGAGGAGCGAAAGCGUGGGUAGCAAACAGGAUUAGAUACCCCUGUAGUC